GACGAACGCUGGCGGCGUGCCUAACACAUGCAAGUCGAACGGGGUGAGAUCCUUCGGGGUUUCACUUAGUGGCGAACGGGUGAGUAACGCGUGAGAAACCUGCCUUUCAGUGGGGGACAACAGUUGGAAACGACUGCUAAUACCGCAUAACGUAUUUUAGGGGCAUCCCUUGAAUACCAAAGCUUUAUGUGCUGAAAGAUGGUCUCGCGUCUGAUUAGCUAGAUGGCGGGGUAACGCCCACCAUGGCGACGAUCAGUAGCCGGUCUGAGAGGAUGAACGGCCACAUUGGGACUGAGAUACGGCCCAGACUCCUACGGGAGGCAGCAGUGGGGAAUAUUGGGCAAUGGGGGAAACCCUGAUGCAGCGACGCCGCGUGAGCGAAGAAGUAUUUCGGUAUGUAAAGCUCUAUCAGCAGGGAAGAUAAUGACGGUACCUGACUAAGAAGCUCCGGCUAAAUACGUG
RNAcentral lists this ribosomal RNA (462 nucleotides) under uncultured bacterium. Its description in RNAcentral is "bacterial SSU rRNA". It matches the Rfam family "Bacterial small subunit ribosomal RNA", at positions 28 to 507 of the family's 1533-position model. The record is from RNAcentral.